This 75-nucleotide transfer RNA is filed under the name Bacillota bacterium. RNAcentral's name for it is "tRNA-Arg". It matches the Rfam family "tRNA". Rfam says of the family: Transfer RNA (tRNA) molecules are approximately 80 nucleotides in length. Their secondary structure includes four short double-helical elements and three loops (D, anti-codon, and T loops). RNAcentral also lists the same sequence under 4 other names. Lineage: Bacteria; Bacillati; Bacillota. The record is from RNAcentral.
GUCCCAGUGGCCUAAUGGAUAAGGCAGUAGCCUCCGGAGCUGCGGAUGCGGGUUCAAUUCCUGCCUGGGACGCCA